CAGUAGCGCGGUAAUACGAAGGGUGCAAGCGUUACUCGGAAUUACUGGGCGUAAAGCGUGCGUAGGUGGUUGUUUAAGUCUGCUGUGAAAGCCCUGGGCUCAACCUGGGAAUUGCAGUGGAUACUGGGCAACUAGAGUAAGGUAGAGGAUAGUGGAAUUUCCGGUGUAGCAGUGAAAUGCGUAGAGAUCGGAAGGAACAUCUGUGGCGAAGGCGACUAUCUGGGCCAUUACUGACACUGAGGCACGAAAGCGUGGGGAGCAAACAGGAUUAGAUACCCCUGUAGUCCCUGUCUCUUAUACC
This 301-nucleotide ribosomal RNA is filed under the name uncultured bacterium. Its description in RNAcentral is "partial 16S ribosomal RNA". It matches the Rfam family "Bacterial small subunit ribosomal RNA", at positions 509 to 808 of the family's 1533-position model. The record is from RNAcentral.